Molecule: long non-coding RNA, 3950 nt
Organism: Humulus lupulus (European hop)
Lineage: Eukaryota; Viridiplantae; Streptophyta; Magnoliopsida; Rosales; Cannabaceae
Exons: 4
Source: RefSeq, a predicted model, not a curated record
AGUUGAGAGAAAAUGGUUUUAUGUGUUUGGAGUUUUUUAAAAUUUGAGGGAAAAUUAACUAAGGGAAACAUUGGGGAAAAUCUUUAAAUAAAACUUGGAUUUUACUUUCCCCUUUUUUUGGUGAGGAAACUGAGAGAAAAACUAUCGAGUUCUCCUCCACGUUCUCUUUCAACAUCGACGAGGACGAGGCCACCACCUCUCCUCCACCGGUGCGAUCAUCGCCUCUUCCACUGCCACAGUUGUGGCCUCCUCCACCGGCGUGACCAUUGCUGGGAUCACCUCCAUUCUUGGGUCCACCAACUUGGGCAAGACAAUUUGGUUAUGAGUCAUCGAAUUCAAAUUUCUACUCUACUGACUCAGUGAAAAAACUGAGAAAACCAUUCAAAUUUCCUUCUCUUUCUUCGAUUGUUUCAAUCUCUGAGCUCCACCAUGGGACAACCACCACCACCACUGCGACCACCACCUCCUCUACCUCCACGACCACAUCUGUGUCACCCUCUGUAACGUCCCUAAAUUCUUAAUAAGGCUUAGUGCCUUUAUUAGGGUGUCGGGAGGGCAUAAUUGGAAUUAUACGUAAUUUUAUUAAAUAUUUAUGUGAUUAUGUUAAUUACAUGAGUUAUAUUAUAAUAUGAUUGAUUAUGCAUGUUUAAGUGAAUUAAAUAUGCUUAUAGACAUGAUUCUGUUAAAAUGUCGUUUUCGUAAUUUUAACUCUCUAAGGGUAUAUCUGUAAUUGUAUGUACUAUAUGCUUGAGCACACAUUGUUAUGUGGGUAUAUUUGUGAUACUCGGCACGAGUCGAUUCUAUUAAGAAAUUUAGCGAAAAAGUCACAAAGAGAUUAAAUACCCGACUUGGGUUGAGCUUAGGGGUAUAUUGGUAAUUUGGCAAAUUAGCAGGGUUUAUUGGUUAAUGGGAAUUAAUUUGGUGAGUGUUUGAGCUUAAUGGAUUCAAUUGGGAAUUUAUGGUAUGAUUUUAGGUUAAUGGGAAUUUUGGAAAAGACUAAAAUACCCUUGGUUUGGACAAAGAGCAUUUGAGUGGAUAAGGGGCAAAUUGGUCAUUUUGACCAUUUGACUAAGUCAAGCUCAGUGGUAUGCUGAAAACCUUAGGGGAUUACACGUUACUCUCUCUCUCUCUCUCUCUCUCUCUCUCUCUUUUUGUGGUUUUCUCUCAAGGUUUAGAUAAGCACUUUGAGGUUUUAGUGUUCAAUUCUUGAAGAUUAUUGGAGUGUCUUGAGGAGGAGUGGGAUUAGUUGAAGAAUUGGAGCUUGUUGUUGAAGUUAGCAGCCAUCAAAUCCAACAUCAUAGCUUGGAAAUUCGAAAUCUGAAGAGGUAAGAACCAAUUGCCUUGUUUUUCAUCUUUUUUUUUGGUGUUUUUGGAUGAGCUGAGAUUAGGUUAGGUUUUUUUGAUUUGAGGUUUCUAGGGGGUUGUUGGAGCUGGAUUUUUGUUGAAGAAACGUGUUUGGGUGGCUGUAUCAAGUUGGGACUGAGGUUAAAGCUCAUUAUUCAAACCUUAACUCUUGGAUUUGGGUUUACCGCAAGGCUCGGGGGAAAAAGGAUCGCGCUCGGGGUCGUACCAUUAUUCUCACAGGACUUGAGGUAAGAAAACUAGUAUAUGCACAUAGAGUUAAUCGGUUGGUAUGCUCAUUAGCAUUGAAUUAUCUGUGAAUAUGUGGUAUAAUCUAUAUUCGGCCAUCAUGAUGAACAUGGGGUCGGACAUCCAUUGCAUUGAGUGUGGGGUUGGUCGGUGAGCGUGUGGAAUGCAUGUCGUAUAGGCAAGUUCAGUUUGAGGGUAUGGACCCCACUUGCCCGGCAUGAACCGUGAGCUGAAUGCCUGUGUAUGCCUCUCGCUCGGUUGGGUCGUUCCCCAAGGCUGUUUUUCCUGGGUCGUGUAAUUGAUUAUAUGAUUAAAAUUAAUAUUUUUGUAAACUAUGGAACGUGUUUGCAGGUUAUAUGAUUGGAAUGAAUGUAUCUGAUAUAUGUGAAACAUGUGUUUAUUGCUUUUGAAUAUUUGGAAUACUGUUAUACUUUGUAGGGUUUUUGUAACGUCCCAAAGUUCCUAAUUAGGCUUAGUGCCUUAAAUAAGGAGGCCAUGAGGACAUUAUUUGAUUAUUAUGUGAUUUAAUUAGAUAUUUAUGUGAUUGUGUGAAUUGCAUGAGUUAUAUUAUGAUAUGACUAAUUAAGCAUGUUUAGGUGUAUUAAAUGUGUGAAACAAGUCCGCUUUUAUUUAAAGGGGCAUGAUUGUAAUUUUGACAUGCUGAGUGAAUAAUUGUGAUUAUAUAAUUGAGAUCACAUUAUUAUGUGGAUAUAUUUGAGAUAUUCGGUAGGAGUCGGUCCUUUUGAGCAAGAUGGUGGUUUAAUCACAACGAGGAUUUAUACCUGGCUCGGGGUGAGCCAAGGGGUAUUAUGGUGAGUUACUGGGACUUAUUGGAGUAAGAGUCAUAUUUUGGGAAAAUAAUGAUAUUUCGGGCUUGGCAGAAUUAUGGAGGGGGGGUAUUUUGGUCAUUUGGACCAUUUGACUAUAUGAUUAUUGAAUGAGUUUAUUAACUCAGAAGUUUUGAAACACUCUCUAUGUCCUACCUCAUGUUCUCUUUCUAAGUUGAGUUGAUUUUUUGGAGAAAGAUCUUGAUCCUUUGGGUAUUGGGGCAAGGCUUGGUGAGAUUGGAAGCUUAUAAGCUUAGGCAAACAAUUUUAACUGAGGUAAAUUCAAGUUUUGAUUUCUGAAUUUUGAAUUUUUGAGUUCUUAAAGUUAUUUAUGAAUUUUGAGUUUCUAUGAUGUUUUGAUUGAGUUUUGAAGUGGGUUAGUGAAUUUCUGAGUUACUGAGACCAUUUUCAUGGUCAAUUGUGAGAAUAACCAUGUUUUAGGAUGGUUUUGGGGAGAUUGCAGUUUCUGAAAUCGCAAGAAAAUAUGGCCUCGUGGGGUCGUGUGCCGCGGUUCUGUUCUUGCGGCGUCACGACCCUCAUGAACUCAGUGGCCAAGUGGUGCCUCGAACUGCCUUAGCGCCGCGACGCUAGGUAAGUUCUGCCUCGGCGCAUUCCCUGUGGUUUUGAACUCGGGGCUCUUUGACUAGUUGAGCGUUGCGAUGCUUAGUGUGGGGGCGCCGCGACUCAAAUUGGAGAAAAUUCAUAAAUUAGGUUUUGGGUUAUGGGAACCCAAACCUAAAGGCUAGGGAAUGAUUCUAUCACCCAAGUUAGUAGAAUUCAAGGUCCCAGAGGCUAGGGCUCGGCCCGAAAGUCUUUAUUGAUUCAUUUCUUAAUAGUUGUACCUUGUUUUGGUUGUAACUAGGGUAUACUGUUAGGCUCGGGAGGAAAGGACCGCGCUCGGAGUCGCUAUACGUGUCUUGUUAAGGACUUGAGGUAAAGAAAAUGAAAAGUUAAACCAGCCAUGCGUUGGAGAGCUUCAAGGUCGGGGUGUACAUAUGCGGCUUGCUUGACCACCACGACCGAUGAUAUCUGUUGGAACUAGGGUUGGACGCUGAUUUUGCUGCUUAGGAGAACUUUUGUAAUCAUUUUGAAUCUAUAUCAGUUUUGAACUCUUUUGGGAACCCAUGUAUCGAAUUCAAACUCUUUAAUGGAAUGGUUGACUUUUGACCAAAAAAUUUAGUAUCUAAACGAGGGCUGUGCAGAAAUUUUUACAACCCGCCCAACCCGAAUAAUCCGCCCAAACCAACCCGAAAAAACCGCCAAAAAACGCAACCCGAAUAAACCGACCAAAAUUUAAACCGCUCAAUUGUUUCAUUGGGCGGGUUGAAAAUAUAACCCAACCCGCCCAUUAUAACCCAACCCGCCCAAUUAAGCAUUAUAUAUAUAAAUUAAUUAAGUUUUGUUUUAUUUUUUUACUAUAAAUUUAAAAUAUUGUUUUAAGUUAAAAAAGAUAAACUUCACACUAUUAGUAUUAGUAUUUAAAAGAAAAAAAUUACAAAAAUUAAAAAAAAAUUAAAAAAAAUAAAUAAAAAA